Molecule: ribosomal RNA, 700 nt
Filed under: uncultured bacterium
Lineage: Bacteria
Description: bacterial SSU rRNA
Rfam family: Bacterial small subunit ribosomal RNA
Source: RNAcentral
AGAGUUUGAUCCUGGCUCAGAACGAACGCUGGNGGCAUGCCUAACACAUGCAAGUCGAACGAGACCUUCGGGUCUAGUGGCGCACGGGUGCGUAACGCGUGGGAAUCUGCCCUCUGGGUACGGAAUAACUCAGGGGAAACUUGAGCUAAUACCGUAUAAUGACUUCGGUCCAAAGAUUUAUCGCCUGAGGAUGAGCCCGCGUAGGAUUAGCUUGUUGGUGAGGUAAAAGCUCACCAAGGCGACGAUCCUUAGCUGGUCUGAGAGGAUGAUCAGCCACACUGGGACUGAGACACGGCCCAGACUCCUACGGGAGGCAGCAGUGGGGAAUAUUGGACAAUGGGCGAAAGCCUGAUCCAGCAAUGCCGCGUGAGUGAUGAAGGCCUUAGGGUUGUAAAGCUCUUUUACCCGGGAUGAUAAUGACAGUACCGGGAGAAUAAGCCCCGGCUAACUCCGUGCCAGCAGCCGCGUAAUACGGAGGGGGCUAGCGUUGUUCGGAAUUACUGGGCGUAAAGCGCACGUAGGCGGCUUUGUAAGUUAGAGGUGAAAGCCCGGGGCUCAACUCCGGAAUUGCCUUUAAGACUGCAUCGCUAGAAUUGUGGAGAGGUGAGUGGAAUUCCGAGUGUAGAGGUGAAAUUCGUAGAUAUUCGGAAGAACACCAGUGGCGAAGGCGACUCACUGGGACACAUAUUGACGCUGAGGU